RNAcentral lists this non-coding RNA (24 nucleotides) under Arabidopsis thaliana (thale cress). The record is from RNAcentral. Lineage: Eukaryota; Viridiplantae; Streptophyta; Magnoliopsida; Brassicales; Brassicaceae.
ACUGCUGUGAUAAUCAUAACCAUU